CGGUAAUACGUAGGGCGCAAGCGUUAUCCGGAAUUAUUGGGCGUAAAGAGCUCGUAGGCGGUUUGUCGCGUCUGCUGUGAAAUCCCGAGGCUCAACCUCGGGCCUGCAGUGGGUACGGGCAGACUAGAGUGCGGUAGGGGAGAUUGGAAUUCCUGGUGUAGCGGUGGAAUGCGCAGAUAUCAGGAGGAACACCGAUGGCGAAGGCAGAUCUCUGGGCCGUAACUGACGCUGAGGAGCGAAAGGGUGGGGAGCAAACAGGCUUAGAUACCCUGGUAGUCCACCCCGUAAACGUUGGGAACUAGUUGUGGGGUCCAUUCCACGGAUUCCGUGACGCAGCUAACGCAUUAAGUUCCCCGCCUGGGGAGUACGGCCGCAAGGCUAAAACUCAAAGGAAUUGACGGGGACCCGCACAAGCGGCGGAGCAUGCGGAUUAAUUCGAUGCAACGCGAAGAACCUUACCAAGGCUUGACAUAUACGAGAACGGGCCAGAAAUGGUCAACUCUUUGGACACUCGUAAACAGGUGGUGCAUGGUUGUCGUCAGCUCGUGUCGUGAGAUGUUGGGUUAAGUCCCGCAACGAGCGCAACCCUCGUUCUAUGUUGCCAGCACGUAAUGGUGGGAACUCAUGGGAUACUGCCGGGGUCAACUCGGAGGAAGGUGGGGAUGACGUCAAAUCAUCAUGCCCCUUAUGUCUUGGGCUUCACGCAUGCUACAAUGGCCGGUACAAAGGGCUGCAAUACCGUGAGGUGGAGCGAAUCCCAAAAAGCCGGUCCCAGUUCGGAUUGAGGUCUGCAACUCGACCUCAUGAAGUCGGAGUCGCUAGUAAUCGCAGAUCAGCAACGCUGCGGUGAAUACGUUCCCGGGUCUUGUACACACCGCCCGUCAAGUCAUGAAAGUCGGUAACACCUGAAGCCGGUGGCCUAACCCUUGUGGAGGGAGCCGUCGAAGGU
This 949-nucleotide ribosomal RNA is filed under the name Microbacterium sp. Its description in RNAcentral is "bacterial SSU rRNA". It matches the Rfam family "Bacterial small subunit ribosomal RNA", at positions 518 to 1463 of the family's 1533-position model. Lineage: Bacteria; Bacillati; Actinomycetota; Actinomycetes; Micrococcales; Microbacteriaceae. The record is from RNAcentral.